Molecule: ribosomal RNA, 465 nt
Filed under: uncultured bacterium
Lineage: Bacteria
Description: partial 16S ribosomal RNA
Rfam family: Bacterial small subunit ribosomal RNA
Source: RNAcentral
GAUGAACGCUGGCGGCGUGCUUAACACAUGCAAGUCGAACGGAAAGGCUCCUGCUUGCAGGGGUACUCGAGUGGCGAACGGGUGAGUAACACGUGGGUGAUCUGCCCUGCACUUCGGGAUAAGCCUGGGAAACUGGGUCUAAUACCGGAUAGGACCACAUUUUGGAUGGUGUGGUGGAAAGUUUUUCGGUGUGGGAUGAGCUCGCGGCCUAUCAGCUUGUUGGUGGGGUAAUGGCCUACCAAGGCGUCGACGGGUAGCCGGCCUGAGAGGGUGUACGGCCACAUUGGGACUGAGAUACGGCCCAGACUCCUACGGGAGGCAGCAGUGGGGAAUAUUGCACAAUGGGCGCAAGCCUGAUGCAGCGACGCCGCGCGGGGGAUGACGGCCUUCGGGUUGUAAACUCCUUUCGCUAGGGACGAAGCGCAAGUGACGGUACCUGGAGAAGAAGCACCGGCUAACUACGUG